Cyprinodon tularosa is the source of this 1081-nucleotide non-coding RNA. The record is from the annotation of a RefSeq genome assembly. Lineage: Eukaryota; Metazoa; Chordata; Actinopteri; Cyprinodontiformes; Cyprinodontidae.
CUGAGAGCUUCAGGGAGGAGCUGAGCUGUUACUGAACUAUAGAAGAGACACAAACUUCCACAUUCAACACAGUUCAAACAUUAACUCUGAUCAUCAUGCUGUCUUUGCUCACAUCUGGAUUUACUCUGCUGGUUCUGCUUAUAGGAACAGGUGUAAACUGUCAGCAACUCACUGCAGCAAAGACUGAAGAGUUCAGUCUAGAAGGCAGCUCUGUUACUCUGUCCUACAGUUACUCCAGCAAGAUAACUGCUGGUGUUGAUUUCUUCUGGUAUCGACAAUAUCCAGGAAAACCUCCAGAGUUCAUCAUGUACAUCUCAGGGCUCAACAGUUCAAGAUCAGCAGAUAAUCUGAAAUCAGCAUCAAGAUUCUCCACUAAACUGAGAGAAGAGAAACACCUGGACCUGCUGAUCUCCUCUGCUGAGCUGACAGACUCUGCUGUGUACUACUGUGCUGUGAAGCCCACAGUGACAGGAAACACCAGAACUCUGUACAAGAACCUGCAAUACUCCACCACAUCCACUAGAGGGCCUCACACACUGCAUUAUACUGACAAUUAUCUGUCUCCACUUGAGUCUGAGAGCAUUUAUAGGAGCAGAUAUGAUCUGAUCGUGUGGAUCUAAAACAGAAAGAUGGAGAACUUUCCAAAUAUCCUCUCUCCUUAGCCUGAGACAUCAGGACACUGUGUCCCCCAAAGUUUAGAGGAUAUCCUUUGUCCAACCUGUCUCAGUGUAAAGAACUUAAGCAGUUUGUCAGUGAGUUCUAUAGAACUCUGUUAUGGACCCAAAUAAAACAGGUGAGCGGAGCAGCUGGACAUCUGGAACUCUGAACUAUCAUUGAACGUUCAAGAAACAUUCACUGAACGUCAGAAUAAAACAGUACGUUAUGUUCAGGGAGCGCUCUCUGUGGACAUUCAGAGGACAUUCAGUGGUCAGUCAGUAGAUGUCCAGUGGACAGUUAGUGGACAUUCUUUGCAGAAUGACAACAUGUCAGCAAUGUUUACUAAACUCUCCUGAGAACAUUCGCCCUCAGUUUUCCACUAAGGUUGAUCCAAACUUGGAAUAAAUGUUAAAAUGAUUUCCAG